Molecule: transfer RNA, 73 nt
Filed under: Octopus sinensis (East Asian common octopus)
Lineage: Eukaryota; Metazoa; Mollusca; Cephalopoda; Octopoda; Octopodidae
Description: tRNA-Tyr
Rfam family: tRNA
About the family: Transfer RNA (tRNA) molecules are approximately 80 nucleotides in length.
Source: RNAcentral
CUCGCGAUAGCUCAGUUGGUAGAGCGGAGAACUAUAGAUCCUUAGGUCGGUGGUUCGAAUCCGUCUCGCGAGA